Molecule: ribosomal RNA, 1584 nt
Filed under: Triticum aestivum (bread wheat)
Lineage: Eukaryota; Viridiplantae; Streptophyta; Magnoliopsida; Poales; Poaceae
Description: partial small subunit ribosomal RNA
Source: RNAcentral
GCUGUGAUCUCUUCUUCUUCCCGAGCCUCGUCCCAUGGCUUCCUUGGAUGCCUCUCGGACAAGAGGAUCCCGGUGUUCACGCAGGGCUCGGAUUCCUUCAUGCCGCGGCUCAACGCCUACGUCAGGAACCCAAGGUUCCUGGCGAAUACCACCGUGAGGCCUCUCUACUUGGUCAUGCCGACGAACGCCGGCCACGUGCAGGACGCCGUUCGCUGCGGCCGCCGGCACAACAUGUCCAUCCGCGUGCGCAGCGGCGGGCACGACUACGAGGGCCUGUCGUACCGGUCCGUGAACGCCAGCGACUUCGCGGUGCUCGACCUGUCGGAGCUCCGCACCGUGCUCGUCGACAGCCAGACGUCGACGGCGUGGGUGGAGUCCGGCGCGACCCUUGGCGAGCUCUACUAUGCCAUCGGCAACGUGAGCGACGUGCUGGGGUUCCCGGACGGCGUGUGCCCGACCGUCGGCGUCGGAGGCCAUUUCAGCGGCGGCGGCUUCGGCACGCUGAUGCGCAAGCACGGGCUGGCCGUCGACAACGUCGUCGACGCCGAGCUGGUGGUCGCCAAUGGGACGGUCCUGAACAGGACCACCAUGGGGGAAGACGUCUUUUGGGCCAUCCGAGGCGGCGGAGGGAGCUUCGGCGUCGUGCUAAAGUGGCAGGUGGGAUUGGUGACCAUCCCGGCGACGGUGUCGGUGUUCAAGGAGGCGGUGUCGGACAGCGAGGGCGCCGUGGACAAGGUCACCAGGUGGCAGAAGGUGGCGCUGGCCCUGCCGGGCGAACUGUACCUCAGGGUGCGCGUCCAGGAAAAGAAGGCCGACUUCCGGGCCUCGUUCCUCGGCGGCUGCGACGACCUCCGGCGGGUGAUGAACCGCAGCCUGGGGUUGAACGGCGCCGACUGCAAGGAGAUGACCUGGGUCGAGUCCGUGGCCUACAUCUGGCUGAGCAGCAACGCGACCCGGGAGGACCUCCUGAGCCGGAACACCUCCAAGUCCGAAUCCCCCAACAGCUUCAAGGCGACGACCGACUACGUCCGGCAGGCCAUUCCCAGGGACGCGUGGGCCGAGAUCUUCGGCAAGCUGGUGUAGCCCAAUGCGCAGAUCAUCUUGCCCCCCUACGGCGGGCAGAUGGGCAACGUGUCGGAGGACGCGACGCCGUUCCCGCACCGCAACGGCGUGCUGUACAGCAUGCAGUUGUACAACUACUGGCGGGUGGAUUCGCCGCGGAGAUCAAAGUGGGUCAGAGACAUGCACCAGUUCAUGGCGACGAACGUGAGCUCCAACCCAAUGGAAGCCUACUUCGGCUGCAGGGACCUGGAUCUGGGCGACGACUGGGGACGCAAAUACUUCAAGGGUAACUACCAGAGGCUCACCGAGGUCAAGGCUAAGGUCGACCCGGCCCGACGACUACUUCCGCAGCGAGCAAAGCAUCCCGCUGCCACCACCGAAUUAUGUGCAUCAACUGCACCGGCCGGGGGCUCUUUCCUCCGCCUUCUGAACCACAUGCUAGUAUUUUUUUUAUUUUUGCCUACAUGCUGGUAUCUAUCUUUGAUUUUGCGUACAUGCAUGGUGGCUACUCCCAACGAGUGA